GACGAACGCUGGUGGCGUGCUUAACACAUGCAAGUCGAACGGGAUUUAGUAAACAGAAGCCUCGGUGGAAGAUUACUAAUGAGAGUGGCGAACGGGUGAGUAACGCGUGAGCAACCUGCCUAUGACAGUGGGAUAGCCUCGGGAAACCGGGAUUAAUACCGCAUAAAAUCGUAGAAACACAUGUUUUAACGGUCAAAGAUUUAUCGGUCAUAGAUGGGCUCGCGUCUGAUUAGCUAGUUGGUGAGAUAACAGCCCACCAAGGCGACAAUCAGUAGCCGGUCUGAGAGGAUGAACGGCCACAGUGGAACUGAGACACGGUCCAAACUCCUACGGGAGGCAGCAGUGGGGAAUAUUGCACAAUGGGGGAAACCCUGAUGCAGCGACGCCGCGUGAACGAAGAAGGUAUUCGUAUCGUAAAGUUCUGUCCUAUGGGAAGAUAAUGACAGUACCAUAGAAGAAAGCUCCGGCUAAAUACGUG
Molecule: ribosomal RNA, 478 nt
Filed under: uncultured bacterium
Lineage: Bacteria
Description: partial 16S ribosomal RNA
Rfam family: Bacterial small subunit ribosomal RNA
Source: RNAcentral